RNAcentral lists this transfer RNA (75 nucleotides) under Escherichia coli. RNAcentral describes it as "tRNA-Gln". It matches the Rfam family "tRNA". Rfam says of the family: Transfer RNA (tRNA) molecules are approximately 80 nucleotides in length. Their secondary structure includes four short double-helical elements and three loops (D, anti-codon, and T loops). Lineage: Bacteria; Pseudomonadati; Pseudomonadota; Gammaproteobacteria; Enterobacterales; Enterobacteriaceae. The record is from RNAcentral.
UGGGGUAUCGCCAAGCGGUAAGGCACCGGUUUUUGAUACCGGCAUUCCCUGGUUCGAAUCCACGUACCCCUGCCU